Molecule: ribosomal RNA, 343 nt
Filed under: Deltaproteobacteria bacterium
Lineage: Bacteria; Pseudomonadati; Myxococcota; Myxococcia
Description: partial 23S ribosomal RNA
Rfam family: Bacterial large subunit ribosomal RNA
Source: RNAcentral
UGGUACGUGAGCUGGGUUUAAAACGUCGUGAGACAGUUUGGUCCCUAUCUUUCGUGGGCGUAGGAUAUUUGAGAGGAUCUGUUCCUAGUACGAGAGGACCGGAAUGGACGAACCAAUGGUGUUCCAGUUGUCGCGCCAGCGGCAUUGCUGGGUAGCUAAGUUCGGAAUGGAUAACCGCUGAAAGCAUCUAAGCGGGAAGCCGACCUCAAGAUAAGAUAUCCCUUAAGUAUGGAAACAUACUUAACUGAAGACCCCUUGAAGACCACAAGGUUGAUAGGCCAGAUGUGUAAGUGCGGCAACGCAUUUAGCUUACUGGUACUAAUAGGUCGUGAGGCUUGGCCAC